This 507-nucleotide ribosomal RNA is filed under the name Oocyclus sp. SLE0851. Its description in RNAcentral is "partial 16S ribosomal RNA". The stretch from base 374 to 507 matches the Rfam family "Bacterial large subunit ribosomal RNA", at positions 2473 to 2607 of the family's 2925-position model. Lineage: Eukaryota; Metazoa; Arthropoda; Insecta; Coleoptera; Hydrophilidae. The record is from RNAcentral.
UUUAAAAUUUAAAGUCUGGUCUGCUCAAUGAAAAUUAAAUAGCCGCAGUAUUUUGACUGUGCAAAGGUAGCAUAAUCAUUAGUUUCUUAAUUAGAAACUUGUAUGAAUGGCUGGAUGAGAAAUAAUCUGUCUCUAUAUAAAUUUAAUUAGAAUUUUAUUUUUAAGUUAAAAAGCUUAAAUGUUUAUUAAAGACGAGAAGACCCUAUAGAGUUUAAUUUUUAUUAAUAUAUAAUUUUUAAAGUAUUAAUUUUUUAUAUAUUAAUAAAAAUUUUAUUGGGGUGAUAGGAAAAAUAAUUUAACUUUUUCUUUUUAUAACAUUAAUUUAUGAUUUGUUGAUCCAAUGUUUUUGAUUAUAAGAUUAAAUUACCUUAGGGAUAACAGCGUAAUUUUUUUUGAGAGUUCUUAUCGAAAAAAAAGUUUGCGACCUCGAUGUUGGAUUAAAAUUUAAGAUUGGCGUAGAAGUUAAUCUUUUAAGUCUGUUCGACUUUUAAAAUUUUACGUGAUCUG